CCCUUAGACGUUCUGGGCCGCACGCGCGCUACACUGACCAGUGCAACAAGCAUCCGUCCUUGGCCGACAGGCUCGGGCAAUCUUUGAACGCUGAUCGUGAUGGGGAUAGACUUUUGCAAUUUUUGGUCUUCAACGAGGAAUUCCUAGUAAACGCAAGUCAUCAACUUGCAUUGAUUACGUCCCUGCCCUUUGUACACACCGCCCGUCGCACCUACCGAUUGAAUGGUCCGGUGAAGCCUCCGGAUUGGCGUGCACCCUCGGGUGCUGCCGAGAAGUUGGCUAAACCUUACCAUUUAGAGGAAGGUGAAGUCGUAACA
Molecule: ribosomal RNA, 317 nt
Filed under: uncultured eukaryote
Lineage: Eukaryota
Description: partial 18S ribosomal RNA
Rfam family: Eukaryotic small subunit ribosomal RNA
Source: RNAcentral